RNAcentral lists this ribosomal RNA (253 nucleotides) under uncultured bacterium. RNAcentral's name for it is "partial 16S ribosomal RNA". It matches the Rfam family "Bacterial small subunit ribosomal RNA", at positions 524 to 776 of the family's 1533-position model. The record is from RNAcentral.
UACGUAGGUGGCAAGCGUUGUCCGGAUUUACUGGGCGUAAAGGGCGCGCAGGCGGCUGGUCAAGUCCGAUGUGAAAGCUCCCGGCUUAACUGGGAAACGGCAUCGGAAACUGAUCGGCUUGAAGGUGGGAGAGGGUAGUGGAAUUCCCGGUGUAGUGGUGAAAUGCGUAGAUAUCGGGAGGAACACCAGUGGCGAAGGCGGGUCUCUGGGCCGAUACUGACGCUGAGGAGCGAAAGCGUGGGGAGCGAACAGG